ACUUUUAAAAUCAGUUAUUUCAGAACCGAUUUUGAAUGUAGUAUACAAAAUUGGUUCUUAAAUAACCAAUUUUAAAAGU
This 79-nucleotide microRNA precursor is filed under the name Cajanus cajan (pigeon pea). Its description in RNAcentral is "miRNA gene-KK1_039928". Lineage: Eukaryota; Viridiplantae; Streptophyta; Magnoliopsida; Fabales; Fabaceae. The record is from RNAcentral.